RNAcentral lists this ribosomal RNA (170 nucleotides) under uncultured bacterium. RNAcentral describes it as "partial 16S ribosomal RNA". It matches the Rfam family "Bacterial small subunit ribosomal RNA", at positions 337 to 524 of the family's 1533-position model. The record is from RNAcentral.
UCCUACGGGAGGCAGCAGUGGGGAAUAUUGGACAAUGGGCGCAAGCCUGAUCCAGCAAUGCCGCGUGAGUGAUGGAGGCCUUCGGGUUGUAAAGCUCUUUCGCACGCGACGAUGAUGACGGUAGCGUGAGAAGAAGCCCCGGCUAACUUCGUGCCAGCAGCCGCGGUAAU